RNAcentral lists this transfer RNA (96 nucleotides) under Burkholderiales bacterium. RNAcentral's name for it is "tRNA-Sec". It matches the Rfam family "Selenocysteine transfer RNA". The record is from RNAcentral. Lineage: Bacteria; Pseudomonadati; Pseudomonadota; Betaproteobacteria; Burkholderiales. RNAcentral also lists the same sequence under 4 other names.
GGAGAGGCAACGACCCUGGUGGGUCGGCCGGGCUUCAAACCCGGUGGGCGGCGCCACGCGUUGCCGGAUGGGUUCGACUCCCGUGCCUCUCCGCCA